Molecule: long non-coding RNA, 323 nt
Organism: Alligator sinensis (Chinese alligator)
Lineage: Eukaryota; Metazoa; Chordata; Crocodylia; Alligatoridae
Exons: 2
Source: RefSeq, a predicted model, not a curated record
AGCAGUUUCUGAAGCUGUAUAAAAGGACUCACAAAACACUGCUCUUUACUCACUUCUCUUGAUUUACUCUCUGUUAUAAAUCAGGUUCACUUCCAGCACACCAAGAUGUUUGACAGCCUGGACAUGAUUGAAGACCUGCAUUACCCGGGCCAGUCUGACUGUUUUCCCCACCAGCGUAGAAGGCCACCAUACACGUGUUGUUGCUAUGACCAAUGGGGAAGGCUGGUCUGGCGAGGUUGCUGCUGGUCUGCACCCCCCUGGUGGUGCCGUUAGGGUGGCUCUGGAAAGGGCUGGCCAUGCUAAAUGCAGCUAGAAUAUCCAUG